GUCUGGGUACAUAAUAUAAAACAAAAAGUUAAAAAUUGCUUUGAGGGAUUUUUCUUUAAACAUAAUAAAUUCAAAAUAUAAUUAUAUAUUGUGUGAAUGCAUAACUACAGGAAAAGAGCUUCACACUGCAGGGGGUAGAUCAUACUAUUGUUACUGGUGAAAUUUUGGAAAGAAAAAUCAUAUUAAACGGAGCAGAAUCCAGUAGAUUUUUUGACAUUUCAGUCUGAAUUUGUGAAAGUGAUGGUAUAUCACUAUGGAGUGUACAAAAUGUGGUGAACCUGUUGGGGAGGCUGUCAACUUUUGCGGAAAGUGUGGUGCACCUGUCAACCUAGAAAACCAGCCAAAACCAGAUGUGCUGUCAAAAGAAAUGAAAUGCAAACAUGAUGUAAGAGUACUACUUGUUGGACAUACUGGCCAUGGCAAAAGUGCACUGGGAACUCGCUUCUGGGUAUCACAAGACAAGAAGGAUUUCAUGACGAAUUGAGCCAAGUUUCUGUUACACAGGAGUAUAAGAGGCUGGUACAAGAAAGAUUUGGAAGAAAAUUAGAAGUUGUGGACACUCCUGGAGUUUUUGAUACAUCCUUUGAUCAACAAUUUGUGUAUGAACAAAUUUACCAGUGUAUAGGGCUGACAUUACCUGGUUUCAAUGCUAUCUGCUUAGUACUGCGCCCAGAUCGCUUUACUAAAGAAUUGGUUCAAACAGUGGAAAUUUUCUUCAAAUUGUUUGGGAAAGGUGUUGAUGAAUAUGCAUUUGUCAUUUUUACCCACAUGGAAACAGAAGCAGAAAUGAAAAACUACAUUAGAGGAGGGGAAAAAAAGUCUGAAGAUGAUGGACAAAAAGCAUUUGAAGUGCUCCGAAAACGAUGUCAAGACAAAAUGUUAUUCAUUGAUAACAAAGCUUCCAAAGAUAUUAAAGAAGAAAUGGUUUGGAAUAUCUUAACAGCAGUUGAUGAAGCUAAUGCCAAAGCAUCAAGGCCAUACUUUGUAAACAAAAUCACUAGAAACUUGGCACAAAAAGCUACAGACUUUUAUAUGAUACAUGUUUGUGGAUUGGGAUCUGAGCGGUCCAAAGAAGAUAUAAGAAUUCUCCUGAUUGGACUUUCUGGCCAUGGAAAAAGUGCAACCGGGAACUCCCUUCUUGGCAAAAGCAUGUUUACUGAAAAUGAUCCCUCAGAGAAAAAUGCACACCAACAAACACCA
Molecule: long non-coding RNA, 1200 nt
Organism: Dreissena polymorpha
Lineage: Eukaryota; Metazoa; Mollusca; Bivalvia; Myida; Dreissenidae
Exons: 6
Source: RefSeq, a predicted model, not a curated record